This 579-nucleotide ribosomal RNA is filed under the name uncultured Arthrobacter sp. RNAcentral's name for it is "bacterial SSU rRNA". It matches the Rfam family "Bacterial small subunit ribosomal RNA", at positions 102 to 694 of the family's 1533-position model. The record is from RNAcentral. Lineage: Bacteria; Bacillati; Actinomycetota; Actinomycetes; Micrococcales; Micrococcaceae.
ACGGGUGAGUAACACGUGAGUAACCUGCCCUUGACUCUGGGAUAAGCCUGGGAAACUGGGUCUAAUACCGGAUAUGACCAUUCCACGCAUGUGGUGGUGGUGGAAAGCUUUUGUGGUUUUGGAUGGACUCGCGGCCUAUCAGCUUGUUGGUGGGGUAAUGGCCUACCAAGGCGACGACGGGUAGCCGGCCUGAGAGGGUGACCGGCCACACUGGGACUGAGACACGGCCCAGACUCCUACGGGAGGCAGCAGUGGGGAAUAUUGCACAAUGGGCGCAAGCCUGAUGCAGCGACGCCGCGUGAGGGAUGACGGCCUUCGGGUUGUAAACCUCUUUCAGUAGGGAAGAAGCGAAAGUGACGGUACCUGCAGAAGAAGCGCCGGCUAACUACGUGCCAGCAGCCGCGGUAAUACGUAGGGCGCAAGCGUUAUCCGGAAUUAUUGGGCGUAAAGAGCUCGUAGGCGGUUUGUCGCGUCUGCUGUGAAAGACCGGGGCUCAACUCCGGUUCUGCAGUGGGUACGGGCAGACUAGAGUGCAGUAGGGGAGACUGGAAUUCCUGGUGUAGCGGUGAAAUGCGCAGA